UACAGAGGUCCCGAGCGUUGUUCGGAUUCACUGGGCGUAAAGGGUGCGUAGGUGGUGAGGUAAGUCGGAUGUGAAAUCUCCAAGCUCAACUUGGAAAUGGCAUUGGAAACUACCUUGCUGGAGGUUUGGAGGGGGGACUGGAAUUCUCGGUGUAGCAGUGAAAUGCGUAGAUAUCGAGAGGAACACCUGCGGCGAAGGCGGGUUGCUGGGCCGACACUGACGCUGAUGCGCGAAAGCCAGGGGAGCGAACGGG
Molecule: ribosomal RNA, 253 nt
Filed under: uncultured bacterium
Lineage: Bacteria
Description: partial 16S ribosomal RNA
Rfam family: Bacterial small subunit ribosomal RNA
Source: RNAcentral